RNAcentral lists this ribosomal RNA (439 nucleotides) under uncultured bacterium. Its description in RNAcentral is "bacterial SSU rRNA". It matches the Rfam family "Bacterial small subunit ribosomal RNA", at positions 30 to 487 of the family's 1533-position model. The record is from RNAcentral.
AUUGAACGCUGGCGGCAGGCCUAACACAUGCAAGUCGAGCGGUAGAGAGAAGCUUGCUUCUCUUGAGAGCGGCGGACGGGUGAGUAAUGCCUAGGAAUCUGCCUGGUAGUGGGGGAUAACGUUCGGAAACGAACGCUAAUACCGCAUACGUCCUACGGGAGAAAGCAGAGGACCUUCGGGCCUUGCGCUAUCAGAUGAGCCUAGGUCGGAUUAGCUAGUUGGUGAGGUAAUGGCUCACCAAGGCGACGAUCCGUAACUGGUCUGAGAGGAUGAUCAGUCACACUGGAACUGAGACACGGUCCAGACUCCUACGGGAGGCAGCAGUGGGAAUAUUGGACAAUGGGCGCAAGCCUGAUCCAGCCGAUGCCGCGUGAGUGAUGAAGGCCUUAGGUUGUAAAGCUCUUUUGUCCGGGUAAGAUAAUGACUGUACCGGAAGAAU